CAGUAGCCGCGGGAAUACGGAGGGUGCAAGCGUUAAUCGGAAUUACUGGGCGUAAAGCGUGCGUAGGCGGCUAAUUGAGUCGGAUGUGAAAUCCCCGAGCUUAACUUGGGAAUUGCAUUCGAUACUGGUUAGCUAGAGUGUGGGAGAGGAUGGUAGAAUUCCAGGUGUAGCGGUGAAAUGCGUAGAGAUCUGGAGGAAUACCGAUGGCGAAGGCAGCCAUCUGGCCUAACACUGACGCUGAGGUACGAAAGCAUGGGGAGCAAACAGGAUUAGAUACCCCUGUAGUCCCUGUCUCCUUAUA
RNAcentral lists this ribosomal RNA (301 nucleotides) under uncultured bacterium. RNAcentral describes it as "partial 16S ribosomal RNA". It matches the Rfam family "Bacterial small subunit ribosomal RNA", at positions 509 to 809 of the family's 1533-position model. The record is from RNAcentral.